GGGAUACAGUAUCCUCUGGGGAGAGGGAGGACGGCCGACGUGAACAAGAACUGGAACCAAAUCCCGUAACUGCCCUUCAACAAGUCGCCGGAAGAAGGAAUGCGGUCCACCUUGAGACCCAAUUCAUACAGUCAUCUUAUAGACAUCCUGCUUCCAAUAGAUGAAACUUACAAAACAUUACCGAUCUACGAGGUACCAGAGUCAUCUGUCACCUCUGGUCUUCUUGGGACCAUCUACACGCCCAAAUAAAUGAAGAGGUCAACCAGUCGAAAUCCUUACUGCUAACUAGAAAACCCACAAAACUGUUUCCAUACAGCCUAUUUGCCCAUCAGUUGGAAACUGGAUAAAGAAGAUGUGGUUUUUCUAUAAAAUGGAAUACUACUCAGCCAUAAAGAACGAGAAAAUAGAUUCAUUCAUAAGAAAAUGGAUACAUAUUGAAGAUAUACUCCUAAGUGAAAUAAAUAAGGCGCACA
RNAcentral lists this long non-coding RNA (473 nucleotides) under Fukomys damarensis (Damara mole-rat). RNAcentral describes it as "lncRNA (ENSFDAG00000029208.1)". The record is from RNAcentral. Lineage: Eukaryota; Metazoa; Chordata; Mammalia; Rodentia; Bathyergidae.